UCUGGAAAAGUUCAAACCCAAU
Molecule: non-coding RNA, 22 nt
Filed under: Arabidopsis thaliana (thale cress)
Lineage: Eukaryota; Viridiplantae; Streptophyta; Magnoliopsida; Brassicales; Brassicaceae
Source: RNAcentral